AAUUUUGGACAAUGGGGGAAACCCUGAUCCAGCCAUCCCGCGCGUAUAAAGAACGCCUCUGGGUUGUAUUGUACUUUUGGCAGAGAAGGAAAGGCAUCCCCUAAUGUGGGAUGCUGCUGACGGUAUCUGCAGAAUAAGCUUCGGCCAUGUACGCGCCAGUAGCCGCGGUAAUACGUAUGUUGCAAGCGUUAAACGGAAUUACUGGGCGUAAAGCGUGUGUAGGCGGUUCGGAAAGAAAGAUGUGAAAUCCCAGGGCUCAACCUUGGAACUGCAAUUUUAACUGCCGAGCUAGAGUAUGUCAGAGGGGGGUAGAAUUCCACGUGUAGCAGUGAAAUGCGUAGAUAUGUGGAGGAAUACCGAUGGCGAAGGCAGCCCCCUGGGAUAAUACUGACGCUCAGACACGAAAGCGUGGGGAGCAAACAGG
This 424-nucleotide ribosomal RNA is filed under the name uncultured bacterium. Its description in RNAcentral is "partial 16S ribosomal RNA". It matches the Rfam family "Bacterial small subunit ribosomal RNA", at positions 360 to 776 of the family's 1533-position model. The record is from RNAcentral.